AAAAAAAUCAAGGAGGUUACCGAGGAGGUGGCAAACAAAGUUUCAUGUGCAAUGACAGAUGAAAUUUGUCGACUGUCUGUUUUGGUUGAUGAAUUUUGUUCAGAGUUUCAUCCUAAUCCAGAUGUAUUAAAAAUAUAUAAAAGUGAAUUAAAUAAGCACAUAGAGGAUGGUAUGGGAAGAAAUUUGGCUGAUCGAUGCACCGAUGAAGUAAACGCCUUAGUGCUUCAGACCCAGCAAGAAAUUAUGGGUAAUAUUUAUGUCUACAAGGUCAUGUCUGGUUUGUUUUUUCAUUCAUGACUGGUGAAGAGCUUAUUUUCCUUUAGGCAUUCCAUUGAAGGUAAAACAUUUACCAUUCUUUCUUAAGUGUUGUAAUUUUGUUCUUUCUAGAAAAUUUGAAGCCAUUACUUCCAGCUGGUAUACAGGAUAAACUACAUACACUGAUCCCUUGCAAGAAAUUUGAUCUCAGUUAUAAUCUAAAUUACCACAAGUUAUGUUCAGAUUUUCAAGAGGAUAUUGUAUUUCGUUUUUCCCUGGGCUGGUCUUCCCUUGUACAUCGAUUUUUGGGCCCUAGAAAUGCUCAAAGGGUGCUCCUAGGAUUAUCAGAGCCUAUCUUUCAGCUCCCUAGAUCUUUAGCUUCUACUCCCACUGCUCCUACCACUCCAGCAACGCCAGAUAAUGCAUCACAGGAAGAACUCAUGAUUACAUUAGUAACAGGAUUGGCGUCCCUUACAUCUAGAACUUCUAUGGGCAUCAUUAUUGUUGGAGGAGUGAUUUGGAAAACUAUAGGCUGGAAACUCCUAUCUGUUUCAUUAACUAUGUAUGGAGCUUUGUAUCUU
RNAcentral lists this small RNA (836 nucleotides) under Pan troglodytes (chimpanzee). Its description in RNAcentral is "retained intron". The record is from RNAcentral. Lineage: Eukaryota; Metazoa; Chordata; Mammalia; Primates; Hominidae.